This is a long non-coding RNA of Prionailurus viverrinus (fishing cat), 196 nucleotides long. RefSeq lists it as uncharacterized. NCBI's taxonomy places the organism in Eukaryota, Metazoa, Chordata, Mammalia, Carnivora, Felidae. The transcript has 3 exons. The record is from RefSeq and is a predicted model, not a curated record.
UAGUUAACAUACAGUUUUUUCUUCUAAACUCAUUCUAUGAAGGGAGCAUUACCUUGAUUCCAGAACCAGACAAUGAUCCCACUAAACAGGAGAAUUACAGGCCAAUAUCCCUGAUGAACUUGGAUGCAGAAAUUCUCAACAAGAUGCUAGCAAAUUGAAUUCAACAGUACAUUAACAGAAUUAUUCACCAUGAUUG